UCUUAUACACAUGCGUGAGCGCACCAAACACCUAAAAUUGUAAUACUACCAGUCACUAAGUUUUAACAAAACAAAACUUUCAACAACGGAUCUCUUGGUUCUCGCAUCGAUGAAGAGCGCAGCGAAAUGCGAUACCUAGUGUGAAUUGCAGCCAUCGUGAAUCAUCGAGUUCUUGAACGCACAUUGCGCCCCAUGGUAUUCCAUGGGGGAUGCCUGUCUGAGCGUCGUUUCCUUCUUGCGCAAGCAGAGUUGAGAACAGGGUAUGCCUUUUUCGAAAUGGAACGUCGUGGACGAAGUGAACUAAACUUUUUAGCACGCUUUGGGCGCCGAACUUUUAACUAAGCUCGACCUCAGAUCAGGUAGGAAUACCCGCUGAACUUAAGCAUAUCAAUAAGCGGAGGAAAGGAUCAUUACUGUGAUUUAUAUCUUAUACACCUGCGUGAGCGCACCAAACACCUAAAAUUGUAAUACUACCAGUCACUAAGUUUUAACAAAACAAAACUUUCAACAACGGAUCUCUUGGUUCUCGCAUCGAUGAAGAGCGCAGCGAAAUGCGAUACCUAGGGUGAAUUGCAGCCAUCGGGAAUCAUCGAGUUCUUGAACGCACAUUGCGCCCCAUGGUAUUCAUGGGGGAUGCCUGUCUGAGCGUCGUUUCUUCUUGCGCAAGCAGAGUUGAGAACAAGCUAUGCUUUUUCGAAAUGGAACGUCCUGGACGAAGUGAACUAAACCUUUUAGCCGCUUUGGGGCCGAACUUUUUACUAGCUUGACUCCAUCACGUAGAAUACCCCUGAACUUAAACAUAUCAUAGCGGAGGAA
RNAcentral lists this ribosomal RNA (816 nucleotides) under Pichia kluyveri. Its description in RNAcentral is "eukaryotic LSU rRNA". The stretch from base 75 to 227 matches the Rfam family "5.8S ribosomal RNA". The record is from RNAcentral. Lineage: Eukaryota; Fungi; Ascomycota; Pichiomycetes; Pichiales; Pichiaceae.